GGGGGAUAACGCGUGAGAAUCUGGCUAGGUCGGGGACAACAGUUGGAAACGACUGCUAAUACCGGAUGUGCCGAGAGGUGAAAGAUUAAUUGCCUAGAUGAGCUCGCGUCUGAUUAGCUAGUUGGUGUGGUAAGAGCGCACCAAGGCGACGAUCAGUAGCUGGUCUGAGAGGAUGAUCAGCCACACUGGGACUGAGACACGGCCCAGACUCCUACGGGAGGCAGCAGUGGGGAAUUUUCCGCAAUGGGCGAAAGCCUGACGGAGCAAUACCGCGUGAGGGAGGAAGGCUCUUGGGUUGUAAACCUCUUUUCUCAAGGAAUAAGUUCUGAAGGUACUUGAGGAAUAAGCAUCGGCUAACUCCGUGCCAGCAGCCGCGGUAAUACGGAGGAUGCAAGCGUUAUCCGGAAUGAUUGGGCGUAAAGGGUCCGCAGGUGGCAGUUAAGUCUGCUGUCAAAGAAUGAGGCUCAACCUCAUCAAGGCAGUGGAAACUACACAGCUAGAGUACGGUCGGGGUAGAAGGAAUUCCUGGUGUAGCGGUGAAAUGCGUAGAGAUCAGGAAGAACACCGGGGCGAAA
Molecule: ribosomal RNA, 575 nt
Filed under: Nostoc sp. LCRSM-Bb
Lineage: Bacteria; Bacillati; Cyanobacteriota; Cyanophyceae; Nostocales; Nostocaceae
Description: bacterial SSU rRNA
Rfam family: Bacterial small subunit ribosomal RNA
Source: RNAcentral